This 253-nucleotide ribosomal RNA is filed under the name uncultured bacterium. RNAcentral describes it as "partial 16S ribosomal RNA". It matches the Rfam family "Bacterial small subunit ribosomal RNA", at positions 524 to 776 of the family's 1533-position model. The record is from RNAcentral.
UACGUAGGUGACAAGCGUUGUCCGGAUUUACUGGGUGUAAAGGGCGCGUAGGCGGGAUAGCAAGUCAGUCGUGAAAUGCCGAGGCUUAACCUCGGAGCUGCGAUUGAAACUGUUAUUCUUGAGUAUCGGAGAGGAAAGCGGAAUUCCUAGUGUAGCGGUGAAAUGCGUAGAUAUUAGGAGGAACACCAGUGGCGAAGGCGGGUCUCUGGGCAGUAACUGACGCUGAGGAGCGAAAGCGUGGGUAGCGAACAGG